UCGGGAAUUUUGGGCAAUGGGGGAAACCCUGACCCAGCAACGCCGUGUGAAGGAUGAAGUAUUUCGGUAUGUAAACUUCGAAAGAAUAGGAAGAAUAAAUGACGGUACUAUUUAUAAGGUCCGGCUAACUACGUGCCAGCAGCCGCGGUAAUACGUAGGGACCAAGCGUUGUUCGGAUUUACUGGGCGUAAAGGGCGCGUAGGCGGCAUGACAAGUCACUUGUGAAAUCUCUGGGCUUAACCCAGAACGGCCAAGUGAUACUGUCGCGCUAGAGUGCAGAAGGGGCAAUCGGAAUUCUUGGUGUAGCGGUGAAAUGCGUAGAUAUCAAGAGGAACACCUGAGGUGAAGACGGGUUGCUGGGCUGACACUGACGCUGAGGCGCGAAAGCCAGGGGAGCAAACGGGAUUAGAUACCCACGUAGUCCCUGAGCGGGCUGGCAAGGCGCAU
RNAcentral lists this ribosomal RNA (447 nucleotides) under uncultured bacterium. RNAcentral's name for it is "bacterial SSU rRNA". It matches the Rfam family "Bacterial small subunit ribosomal RNA", at positions 355 to 825 of the family's 1533-position model. The record is from RNAcentral.